UGGUAUAUUUACUAACAAACACCUUUUGUAUAGUAGAGUGGUAAAAGAGAUAACCCAUACUCUCUUUAGAAUAACCUACAAAUAAAUAUUUAUCUACCCUAGCACUCAGCUUAUAUCCAAAGUUUCUUUUAACAUAAGCUAGAUAGCUUCAAAUUUUAAGAUACUUAAGAUUAGACUUUUUACCUCUCCAUAUCUUAUAUGAAGUGCUUGGCAC
Molecule: long non-coding RNA, 214 nt
Filed under: Elaeis guineensis (African oil palm)
Lineage: Eukaryota; Viridiplantae; Streptophyta; Magnoliopsida; Arecales; Arecaceae
Description: long non-coding RNA (EGUI_LNC050238)
Source: RNAcentral